AGGAUUUUAAGUUAUUAAAACUAAGUGCCUUCAAAGCCCUUAAAAAAGUAAACCCUUUUAAAUCCUA
This 67-nucleotide transfer RNA is filed under the name Chionoecetes japonicus pacificus. RNAcentral's name for it is "tRNA-Trp". Lineage: Eukaryota; Metazoa; Arthropoda; Malacostraca; Decapoda; Majidae. The record is from RNAcentral.